This 1884-nucleotide unclassified non-coding RNA is filed under the name Hevea brasiliensis (rubber tree). The record is from RNAcentral. Lineage: Eukaryota; Viridiplantae; Streptophyta; Magnoliopsida; Malpighiales; Euphorbiaceae.
UGUACUAUAUAUUUGGAACCUGUCUUGAGAGGACGUGCUCAUAUCUUUAUGAAAAAAUUACUUCAAAUACAACAUUUGCCGCCACAGUAUCUGUAAAACUACAUAUUAUACAAGGUUAUUGAAGGGUGAUGGGGAUGGAUAUUACCUAUGUGCUGGUGGCAUUAUACAGCUUGAAAGAAUUGAAUGAGAAUCUGAAUUACUUUAAGAAUAUUAAAUGGGGUUAAGAAUUUGUAAAUACAUCAACUAAGAGUGAAUGGAUGGUUGACUGUUUCUAUUGUCAGUCACAACUUCUAUAACAUCUCGAGAUGGAACUCUUAGACAUGAUUUCAUGAGGUCAUAAACUGUAAAACCAAUUGCAACAGAUGGCACAACCUUCAAGUAGUUGAUGCUCAGCCCUGAAAAUAACUGCUUCCACCCUUGUGUUUGGACGAUCAUAACCAGGGUUUCCAUUGUUCCUUUCAAUUCUGCCGAAUUUGACGUAGCAAGCCUUUGUACCUAUUAACAUGAUUUCAUGAUUUUUCCCAGUUUCAAUUAUGAUUCCAAAUUCAGUGGACUUUGCACCUAGAAGCAAAUUACCUGCAUUUGCCUUCUUACAACAUCAAGAGGGUAUGUGAAGGUCUGUCCCAUCAAACCAGCAACAGAUCCACAUACCAGUUUCACCAAAAUAUCUUUCUUGUGUUCCUCAGGAACAUGGCGCUUCAUUUCCUCAUAGAAGUAAAAUUUCAAACCAGCAUAAGGGAAGAUUCCAUAAAGGGAUGGAGCUGACAAUGGUUUUCAAUUAUUAAUUGUAAAAUCCUUAAAGGAAUCUACAGCAGCCAUUGAGACAUGCAACAGAAAAACUAAAUACAAGGUCUAUUGUAACACAUACCCACACCAUGAUAGAGACCUCUUCGCCCAGAUUCUUUCAAAGUCUUCAAGAAACAAUCAUAGAUUCCUUUAUAUUCUUGUUUAGUACUAGCUAUCCCUUGAACAUUCACUUUUGAUGAAUUGACAACCUGCAUUAUCAAAUACAAUUCAUUCUAGGUGAACAUAAUUAGUGUAUAUGGAGAGUGGGGAAGGGAGAGAAAGGCAUCCUCUUAGCUACAUGGAGCUUACUGGGACAAGCCAAACCCUGGGGAUGGUGAUGCUGUCACUGAGUAAAUGUUAUUUGCGUGUGCUCUUUUUUCCUUUUUUUUUUUGGGGCACCCAAUUUAAAAUAUUUACCUGAUAAGCUAAUUUAGUUCUAACUAAAUCAAGAGGAUAAGUGAAAAGCACAGCUGUUCCUCCAGCAAAUGAUCCUGCCACAAGAUCAAGUACAGGACCCCUCCCAGCAUUAGGAAAAGUAUGGAUGAUCCAUCUACGAUAUUGCUCAUAGGUCAUAUAAUGCAAGGCUGCAUAGGGAACGAUUCGAGCAACACUAGCACCAUUCCCUCUGUAGAAACCCAUAAUGCCUUCUGUCUUUGCAAUCUUUUUAAUGGAUCCAAGCAGUCCUAUAGUCUUGAAUUCAUCUCUUCUGGUCUGAAACAAAAUCUUCACACGUUCAAGGGGAGCAACAACAGUCUUUGCAAGGCCACCAGCGACACCCCCAGCAACCAACUCCUUUGCAAACACAGGCAUGGCCUCUAUUACCCCAUCCAAAAACAAACCCGUCUCUCUUUCCUCUCUCUUCUUUGCCAUGAUUCCACAGAAAGAAAAGAAAGAGAGAAACUUGAAAUUUAUUAAUAGCAAGCAAUGAUUGACUGGUCUGAAGGAAAACUUGGAAAGGAGUCUGGGCACACAAAGAAGCAGAGAAACGUUUUUGUUUAGAUGGCCAUUUUAUAUGUUUUGGACAGCCGACAAGUCAGAGAAGCCCACGCACACAUUAGAUUCCUAUGUCUCAUGAGAGAAGAGAGUGGAGAAUAUUAU